Molecule: ribosomal RNA, 208 nt
Filed under: uncultured bacterium
Lineage: Bacteria
Description: partial 16S ribosomal RNA
Rfam family: Bacterial small subunit ribosomal RNA
Source: RNAcentral
CUCGUAGGUGGUUUGUCGCGUCGUCUGUGAAAUUCCGGGGCUUAACUCCGGGCGUGCAGGCGAUACGGGCAUAACUUGAGUACUGUAGGGGUAACUGGAACUCCUGGUGUAGCGGUGAAAUGCGCAGAUAUCAGGAGGAACACCGAUGGCGAAGGCAGGUUACUGGGCAGUUACUGACGCUGAGGAGCGAAAGCAUGGGUAGCGAACA